This 477-nucleotide ribosomal RNA is filed under the name uncultured bacterium. Its description in RNAcentral is "partial 16S ribosomal RNA". It matches the Rfam family "Bacterial small subunit ribosomal RNA", at positions 28 to 507 of the family's 1533-position model. The record is from RNAcentral.
GAUGAACGCUAGCGGCGGGCCUAAUACAUGCAAGUCGAACGGGAAAGGUGGCAACACCUUGAGAGUGGCGUACGGGUGCGUAACGCGUAUACAACCUGCCUGUUACACGGGGAUAGCCUUGCGAAAGCGAGAUUAAUACCCGAUGGUACUAUUGAGCGGCAUCGCUUGGUAGUUAAAGCUGAGGCGGUAACAGAGGGGUAUGCGUCCCCUUAGCGAGUUGGUAGUGUAACGGACUACCAAGGCGACGCUGGGUCGGGGUUCUGAGAGGAUGAGCCCCCCCAGUGGGAGGGAGAGACGGAGCAGACGGGUACGGGAGGCAGGAGGAGGGAAGAUUGGGCAAUGGAGGGAAGGCUGACCCAGCCACGCCGCGUGCAGGAAGAAGGUCCUCUGGAUUGUAAACUGCGUUUCUUGGGGAAGAAAACCCUUCUGCGGAAGGAAUUGACGGUACUCAAGGAAUAAGCAUCGGCUAACUCCGUG